UACGUAGGCAGCGAGCGUUGUUCGGAAUUACUGGGCGUAAAGAGUGUGUAGGCGGUGCUCCAAGUCUGGUGUGAAAUCUCCCGGCUUAACUGGGAGGGUGCAUUAGAAACUGGAAUGCUAGAGGAUGGGAGAGGUAAGCGGAAUUCCUGGUGUAGCGGUGAAAUGCGUAGAUAUCAGGAGGAACACCUGUGGUGUAGACAGCUUACUGGACCAUUUCUGACGCUGAGACACGAAAGCGUGGGUAGCAAACAGG
RNAcentral lists this ribosomal RNA (253 nucleotides) under uncultured bacterium. RNAcentral's name for it is "partial 16S ribosomal RNA". It matches the Rfam family "Bacterial small subunit ribosomal RNA", at positions 524 to 776 of the family's 1533-position model. The record is from RNAcentral.